RNAcentral lists this ribosomal RNA (253 nucleotides) under uncultured bacterium. RNAcentral's name for it is "partial 16S ribosomal RNA". It matches the Rfam family "Bacterial small subunit ribosomal RNA", at positions 524 to 776 of the family's 1533-position model. The record is from RNAcentral.
UACAGAGACUGCAAGCGUUAUUCGGAUUCACUGGGCGUAAAGGGUGCGCAGGCGGCCGGGUGUGUCAGAUGUGAAAUCCCGAGGCUCAACCUCGGAACUGCGUCUGAAACUACUCGGCUAGAGUAUUGGAGAGGGUAACGGAAUUCACGGUGUAGCAGUGAAAUGCGUAGAUAUCGUGAGGAACACCAGAGGCGAAGGCGGUUACCUGGACAAUUACUGACGCUCAGGCACGAAAGCAUGGGGAGCAAAAGGG